AGUGAACGCUGGCGGUAGGCCUAACACAUGCAAGUCGAACGGCAGCACAGUAAGAGCUUGCUCUUACGGGUGGCGAGUGGCGGACGGGUGAGGAAUACAUCGGAAUCUACUUUUUCGUGGGGGAUAACGUAGGGAAACUUACGCUAAUACCGCAUACGACCUACGGGUGAAAGCAGGGGAUCUUCGGACCUUGCGCGAUUGAAUGAGCCGAUGUCGGAUUAGCUAGUUGGCGGGGUAAAGGCCCACCAAGGCGACGAUCCGUAGCUGGUCUGAGAGGAUGGUCCGCCCCACGGGAACGUGAACACCGUCCCGGCGACUUAGGGAAGGCACAGGUGGGAAUAUUGGACAAUGGGCGCAAGCCUGAUCCAGCCAUACCGCGUGGGUGAAGAAGGCCUUCGGGUUGUAAAGCCCUUUUGUUGGGAAAGAAAAGCAGCAGGUUAAUACCCCGCUGUUCUGACGGUACCCAAAGAAUAAGCACCGGCUAACUUCGUG
RNAcentral lists this ribosomal RNA (492 nucleotides) under uncultured bacterium. RNAcentral describes it as "partial 16S ribosomal RNA". It matches the Rfam family "Bacterial small subunit ribosomal RNA", at positions 29 to 507 of the family's 1533-position model. The record is from RNAcentral.